Molecule: long non-coding RNA, 1980 nt
Organism: Rosa chinensis
Lineage: Eukaryota; Viridiplantae; Streptophyta; Magnoliopsida; Rosales; Rosaceae
Exons: 6
Source: RefSeq, a predicted model, not a curated record
AGAGCCCCAAUCUAGUAUCGAAGCUGCCCUCCAUCACCCAGAUUUCAUUUCUCUUCUUCCUCACCUACUCAAAAACCCCGAUUUCAUUUCUCUCUCUAGACAUGACGGUGACUCUGUGUCUUAAGGCCACUCCCUCUUCCAUUCUCUCGCUCUCUUUCACCUCCCAAACAUCACCACCACCUCUCUUUCCCCAAAACCCGCAUCCCCACAUUCGCCACCAUCACCAUGUCGUCAUUCCCCGUCGUCGAGCACAACGUCCUCUUCAAGGUCAAAGACAACACCAAUCCCUCCAAGGUCAACAGCUGCUCAGAUCCGCCGCGUCCCUCCAUCGUUUUGUCGCAUCUGGGUUCCGGGUCGGAUAAAGAGAAUCUCAGCCUCUUUAUCUGGGACCUCUUUACUCGGCUACAAAUCGGCUGCAUCGAGUUCAAGAAGAAGGCUUUGGAGUCUCAGCUUCAGCUUCUCGAAGACGACGACAAGGCCGCCUGCUCGACAAGGCCGUCGAUGGGAUUCAAUCGGCAACUUUAAAAUGAAUCCCUCGUUGUCUUCUUCUCCAUCUUCUACUUUCGCCGGCUCUUGGUUUUCCAGUGUGAAACGAUGUCAGCAGUUGUAGAUGUCAGAAGGUUCGAUCUGGCGGGUCAGCACAGGCGCAGGAAAAUCCAGGUCCGAUCUGGUACGGUGGGAAUUUGGGUCGAACAUCGAUGUUCAGAGCGCCGGUGGUCGGCAUAGAGGAACGACGACAGGAGAAGACAUCGUGGUGGUCUUUGAGCAUCGGGUCUGCAGCUCGGCGACUGGUCUGGUACGGUUCUGAGUACGGAUCAACCAUUGGUUUGGAGACAUUGGGGCUUGUUUCGAUGAUGAUGUCAAGGAGGGGGGCAAAGUUUGCUUGCAGUGUGGCACUACCUAUGAUGAUAUUGUAUAAGAAUGUGGAGCAUCCAAAGCUUGCUGCAUUCAUCAAGGAGCAUACUUGGGUAAUGGAGUCCGAAGAAUAUCUUACUUUUCCUUAAAACCAGUUUGAGAUUAAGGGAGGGGUUCUUCACUAUCUUGAGUCCAUUGAAGAGGGAGUAAGCAUCUUCUAGAGAUGAAUAGGAUUUUAAGGCCCGGGGGAUACUUUAUCUUGUCAACUAAACAUGACAGCUUUGAAGCUGAAGAAGGUUUGUCCCAUGUUUUACAAUUACUAUUUUGAGAUGCUUGAAAGCUGGAACAGUAGACCUUAUCUUAUACUAUAUCAUGAGGAGCAAUUUUCUUAGUGCAUGUAGUUCUGUUUGCUUUAAGGUAUUUGAUGAUUUCCCCGGAAUGCUGCUGUCAUAAGAGUUGAAUCUGCUUGCUCAUGCUGCUGAUUGUUGGUUUUUAAUUGAAGGGCCUUGUUCAAAAUCCUUUAUAUUGAUGUGGGGAAAGGCGACUGACUUUGCUUUAGUACUACAGUCAGUGUAUAUGGGUCGGAUAUAGUCAUUUUUCAAAUCUGCAUGUUUUUCUUAGUGCUUACUUUGGACCUAUCAUUGCUUGGAAAGGAUAGUGCGGAUGAAUUCUCAAUUGUGCCUUUUUUUUUUCCUUGAUGAUAAUAUGUUAUCAAAUAAGAGUAUAAUUGUGCUUGAUUCUUGAUUUUUCGAUGGUGGUAGAAUGCAGCUACGAUAAUUUGACUCUUAGAAUGGAAAAGAAGUAAGGUAAAUGUGCCACAGUGGCUCCAUGUAGCGUAUCGUUUCUAAAGCAACACUACUUUAGGCCAAUGGUUCUAAAGCAUUGAAGCUUGAAAUUAGAAUGGCAUCGGAAUUGUCAAGCUUAUGGGAUAUUAAUUUGUGAUUUUGCUUACAACUAUCUUGGGAGAUCGAGCAAAUUGUAUUCUUUUUUAUUAUUAUGUAAAGCUCAUGAAACUUGAAAGCUUGUUAAGCUAAUGAAAUAGAUAUAGGCACUUGGGCAAGGUUAAUUCCUGUGUAAAUGUUGGGAUGGAUACUGCUAAUGGAAUGAAAUGGUUUUUGGAAUCAA